This 69-nucleotide transfer RNA is filed under the name Rattus norvegicus (Norway rat). It matches the Rfam family "tRNA". Rfam says of the family: Transfer RNA (tRNA) molecules are approximately 80 nucleotides in length. The record is from Rfam by way of RNAcentral. Lineage: Eukaryota; Metazoa; Chordata; Mammalia; Rodentia; Muridae.
GGGGGUUUAGCUCAGUGGUAGAGCACUUGCCUAGUAAGCACAAGGUCCUGAAUUCAAUCCUCAGCUCCG